AAUCCAUGAUAUGGGCAUCAUUGUAUUAUCAUUUUAAAAUGCUCCCAAGCUUCAUGAAAGCUUUCUCCUUCUAACUAUUUUAACGUUGCAAUCUUGCAAUCUCUCUCCUCAGUUG
Non-coding RNA from Gossypium hirsutum (cotton), 115 nucleotides. Lineage: Eukaryota; Viridiplantae; Streptophyta; Magnoliopsida; Malvales; Malvaceae. The record is from Rfam.